Molecule: long non-coding RNA, 579 nt
Filed under: Medicago truncatula (barrel medic)
Lineage: Eukaryota; Viridiplantae; Streptophyta; Magnoliopsida; Fabales; Fabaceae
Description: lncRNA gene23042
Rfam family: mir-172 microRNA precursor family (bases 439-579)
Source: RNAcentral
GUAAUAUUGUUAGAUCUCAUAUCUCAUAUGUUAAGAGAGAUUGCUAUUUGAUUUUGACAAAAUUGGACAUAUUUUAAAUUCUUAAACCAUACAUAUCAUGGCCUAUAGAUUCUGAAUCUCAUAUACUUGAGUUUUCCUCGAUCUAUAGAUGUUCUCAAAAUAAAAAGGGGUUUUAUAUAUUGUCCUUUUUGGACAAGUUUUAAACAAAACAAAAAAACAAGGGUUUUUCCUUUAAUUUUGUUUUUCGAGGAAAGGGUUUCACCUGGGUAGAUUCUCUCCUUUGUUCCCUCUUUUUAGUUUAUCUUUAGACAAAUUCCACAAGAAAUUGUCCUCUUUUCUCUGUGUAUAUUGUAGCUUUUUUUGUUCUUCUCUCUCAUGACAUUAACACUUUUUUGGAUGCAGCAAGGAACCAUAGUUGCAUGGACAGAUAGUCAGUCGUUAUUUGCAGAUGUAGCAUCAUCAAGAUUCACAUAUGAAAGUGCAAAUGGUUUUGUUGGAUUUUGAUCUGAUCGAUGCAAAUCUAAGUUCUCCAUAGGUCUUUUGAACUGAGAAUCUUGAUGAUGCUGCAUCAGCCAUAAA